AUUAUUGAAUUUAAUGUAGGGUUGGUUGUUGCUGGCUCAAGGAUUUUUCUAAAAAAUUAUUCUGGGCAUGUGCACACCUUCUCUUUCAUCCACACACACCUGUGCACCUGUGAGACAGAUGUGGGGGACUUUAUUGGACCCCUCUCUGUCUACUUAAUUAACACAAACUCAAUUUAUUUUAAAAUGAAUGUAAUUGAUGUAACGCAUCUAAUACUAAGUUUCAACAACGGAUCUCUUGGCUCUCGCAUCGAUGAAGAACGCAGCGAAAUGCGAUAAGUAAUGUGAAUUGCAGAAUUCAGUGAAUCAUCGAAUCUUUGAACGCACCUUGCGCUCCUUGGUAUUCCUUGGAGCAUGCCUGUUUGAGUAUCAUGAAAUCUUCAAAGUAAACCUUUUGUUAAUUCAAUUGGCUAUACUUUGGUAUUGGAGGUCUUGCAGCUUCACACCUGCUCCUCUUUGUGCAUUAGCUGGAUCUCAGUGUUAUGCUUGGUUCCACUCGGCGUGAUAAGUUAUCUAUCGCUGAGGACACUGUAACAGGUGGCCAAGGUAAAUGCAGAUGAGCCGCUUCUAACAGUCCAUUGACUUGGACAAUAAUUUUUAUGAUCUGAUCUCAAAUCAGGUAGGACUACCCGC
Molecule: ribosomal RNA, 630 nt
Filed under: fungal sp. E14921F
Lineage: Eukaryota; Fungi
Description: eukaryotic LSU rRNA
Rfam family: 5.8S ribosomal RNA (bases 216-369)
Source: RNAcentral